GAAAUGCGAUAAGUAAUGCGAAUUGCAGAAUUCAGUGAAUCAUCGAAUCUUUGAACGCACCUUGCGCUCCUUGGUAUUCCUUGGAGCAUGCCUGUUUGAGUAUCAUGAAAUCUUCAAAGUAAAUCUUUUGUUAACUCAAUUGGUUUCUACUUUGGUAUUGGAGGUCUUUGCAGCUUCACACCUGCUCCUCUUUGUUCAUUAGCUGGAUCUCAGUGUUAUGCUUGGUUCCACUCGGCGUGAUAAGUUAUCUAUCGCUGAGGACACUGUAAAAGGUGGCCAAGGUAAAUGCAGAUGAACCGCUUCUAAUAGUCCAUUGACUUGGACAAUACUUUUAUGAUCUGAUCUCAAAUCAGGUAGGACUAACCGCUGAACUUAAGC
RNAcentral lists this unclassified non-coding RNA (378 nucleotides) under plant metagenome. RNAcentral's name for it is "partial contains 5.8S ribosomal RNA, internal transcribed spacer 2, and large subunit ribosomal RNA". The stretch from base 1 to 105 matches the Rfam family "5.8S ribosomal RNA", at positions 50 to 154 of the family's 154-position model. The record is from RNAcentral.